UAGCUCAGUCAGUUGAGCAUAGCAGUAACAACGCUAAGAUCAUGGGUUCGAUUCCCGU
RNAcentral lists this transfer RNA (58 nucleotides) under Apaloderma vittatum (bar-tailed trogon). It matches the Rfam family "tRNA", at positions 8 to 63 of the family's 71-position model. Rfam says of the family: Transfer RNA (tRNA) molecules are approximately 80 nucleotides in length. The record is from Rfam by way of RNAcentral. Lineage: Eukaryota; Metazoa; Chordata; Aves; Trogoniformes; Trogonidae.